UUUGCCUACGGGACGCAGCAGUGGGGAAUAUUGCACAAUGGGGGAAACCCUGAUGCAGCAACGCCGCGUGAGUGAAGAAGUCAUUCGUGAUGUAAAGCUCUAUCAGCAGGGAAGAAAAUGACGGUACCUGAGUAAGAAGCCCCGGCUAACUACGUGCCAGCAGCCGCGGUAAUACGGAGGAUGCGAGCGUUAUCCGGAUUUAUUGGGUUUAAAGGGUGCGUAGGCGGAAUGCCAAGUCAGCGGUAAAAUCGCGGGGCUCAACCUCGCUCCGCCGUUGAAACUGGCGUUCUUGAGUGGGCGAGAAG
Molecule: ribosomal RNA, 305 nt
Filed under: uncultured bacterium
Lineage: Bacteria
Description: bacterial SSU rRNA
Rfam family: Bacterial small subunit ribosomal RNA
Source: RNAcentral